AGGGGACCCAGCUCCCCAACCGUCCGCAGAGCAAGGUAAUGCCUUUUGUCUGCCCGCCAGCACUGCCUGGGCGGUAGCUCCCCGCCAAGGGACAGGGAAAGGGAGGAGGGGACCUCAGGCUAAAGUCCCUGCCUGAGAAUCGAAUGGGGAUUCUCCCUGUAUCCUCUGGAUCAGCACUUCCCAAUGCCGCAUGCAGAUUCCAAGUAUCUAGGGAGCUCUGAGCAGUGGCCCAAGCCUAGCGGGACAAGGUGAUUUGGACCUAGCUGCCAGGGUAAAGAAUAGUCCUGUUCAGAUGAUAUAGGCUUUCCGAUUUUGUAACUGCACCGUGGGUAGGUAAGAGCCUCUUGUUAUUAGAAACAUACGCAUUUAGGGUAAAAUGAGAGUCAUUUUUUGGUGGGGGUGUUAAGGAUUGAACCUAGGUCCUCGUGCAUGUGAGGCAAGCACUCUACCAACUGAGCUCUGUUUCCAGCCCCCACCUCCAAUCAUGUUUUUAACUUAUUUUUCAAUGGUUCAGAAACACAGAUGCAGAAACAUCUGUGGAAGGAUAAUAAAGCAAAUGGGGUCAAAUCACUAGUAAAUCUGGGCAAAAGGUAUAUGAAUACAAUUUGGAUCAUUCUCCAACUUUUCUACACCUUUGAAAUUAUAUCCAAAUAAAAUGCUAAACAACAAUGAAACAAAAAUCCAAAAUAUGACUGCAGAAACAACAAUGCCAGGCCACCCCCAGAGAUUCCCCAAUCCCUUGCUUGGGAUGACCAGGGGUAAGUGGUGGGGAUAGGGGCAAGGCUUCUGGCACCAUAAAGCAGAUUCAGAACCUCAGGAAGGCUCCCGACAGGUGGCUGGUGCAGGGGUUUAAAUGCUUAAGCAUCAGUUGCUAGGACCAAGAGGCAAGCAUUCCAGGAAUGUGAUUAGGUGUGGAGAGGUAUCACCAGGGUGGUAGAGGCCUUGGAGAACUCACCUUGAGUUCAAGAACCUCAUUUUUUUUUUUUUUGUUUUGUUUUAUUUGCAAUGGGAAUUGAACACAGGGGCAUUUAGCCACUGAGUACAUCCCCAGACUCCCCCCACCCCCACCCCAGUUUGGUUUGUGUUUUUAGAGACAGGGUCUUGCUGAGUAGCUGAGUUGCUUUGGGCCUCGUUAAGUGGCUGAGGCUAGCUUUGAACUCGUGAUCCUCCUGCCUCAUCCUCCAGCGUUGCUGGGACUACAGGCUUGCACCAUACCCAAGCAGCCUUCUUGACUGCUCUGGCUUCCCCCUCUCUCUGCUCUGAAGUCCUACAGGCCCCAGUCUCACUAGUUUGGACUGCUCUGUGGCUGCCCUUCUGUCCACCAUGGAUGAGUGUGCCCUGUCUUCUUCUCCCGUUUUUCUUCUCUCUUCUCUUCAGCAUAGAGCUUGGUGCAGGGGAAUCUUUGUGGGGGAAACUGAGGAAGAACUGACCAGAACUACUUUUUCAUUUGAAGGUGACAGGGUGGAAACCCCAUCCCAAGUCCUGGGACAGGAAAUGGCUUUACUGACCCCAACCAGAUGGGCUUGGUCAGAGAGGGCUCCCUGAAGCAGGUCCUGGGGCUCAGCAGGACUUGGAGGGAUGGGUGGGCCCAGAAAGAGUUGAUGAGCCAGCCAAAGGUCAGACAGUUCUGUUGAGCCCAUGGGUGGGUCAUCUCUUUGGGCUGCCUCACAGUGACAGCAAAGGCUGUGCCCUUAAGGCCAACCUUGAAGCCUGCAGGGGGCGCUGAAAGGGUGGGGAGGAGAGCUGGGAGUAGCCAUCUGUGAUGGGCGUGAG
This 1773-nucleotide long non-coding RNA is filed under the name Marmota monax (woodchuck). The record is from RNAcentral. Lineage: Eukaryota; Metazoa; Chordata; Mammalia; Rodentia; Sciuridae.